GAUGAACGCUAGCGGCAGGCUUAACACAUGCAAGUCGAGGGGCAGCGCGAUGUAGCAAUACAUUGGCGGCGACCGGCGCACGGGUGCGUAACACGUAUGGAACUUACCCUUUACUGGGAGAUAGCCCGGAGAAAUCCGGAUUAAUAUCCCAUAAUAAACGAAGUGGCAUCACUUUGUCUUGAAAGCUCCGGCGGUAAAGGAUGGCCAUGCGCACGAUUAGCUAGUAGGUGAGGUAACGGCUCACCUAGGCUACGAUCGUUAGGGGGCCUGAGAGGGUUAUCCCCCANACUGGUACUGAGACACGGACCAGACUCCUACGGGAGGCAGCAGUGAGGAAUAUUGCGCAAUGGAGGCAAACUCUGACGCAGCCAUG
Molecule: ribosomal RNA, 373 nt
Filed under: uncultured bacterium
Lineage: Bacteria
Description: bacterial SSU rRNA
Rfam family: Bacterial small subunit ribosomal RNA
Source: RNAcentral